UGCCAAAUAAUAAGUUGAGAAUUAAGUAGGCUGGAUCAAUUUUUGUGGACACACUUCCAGAUCGAAGUGGACUGACCUAAUAAUCACCAUUGUCACAAAAAGCCCAUCGCAGUUGUUCUUGUUCUUCGGAGACACUGAGCUCAGAGGGAGAGAGAGAAACAACAAUCCAAUGAAUCAACCUGUUCAGAAGAACACUCUGUACGUAGGGGGUUUGGCGGAGGAGGUGAAUGAAUCGAUACUUCACGCUGCGUUCAUACCGUUCGGGGACAUAAAAGAUGUGAAGACGCCAUUAGAUCAGGCGACUCAGAAGCACAGGUCAUUCGGAUUCGUGACGUUUCUGGAGAAAGAAGACGCCUCCGCCGCCAUGGACGGUCCGUGUCCUCACCGUCAACUAUGCCCUCCCUGAGCGCAUCAAGGGUGGUGAACAGGGUUGGGCCGCUCAGCCAAAUUAGGGGAAAUGAAAAAAGAUGGGGCAAAACUUUGGAAGGGCACUUGCUUUAACCUUUGAAAGGGCAUGAAUAGCUCAGAAUUAGAAGAUUCCGAACUCCAACACUUUUCUGGCUGGUUCCAAGACUAAAGAAAGGGUAAAAAUGGAACAAUUCUUCUCCUUUCUUUGAAAUUGACUCACAUACUGUUUGAUUAUCAUUUUCAGACUACUUUUUGGCUUUCAAAGCUCAAACUGUUGCAAAUUUAAUUUUCUUGAGCAAGAACACCAAAAAGAAUGUUAAGGAAAGCAUGUGUGAGUUAGUAGCCUCAUUUCGCAUUCAGUAUAAACUGGAUCUGCUUCCACCUUAUAUGGUAGUAUUGAAUGGGUUAGAAGUUUCAUUUAUUAACGAAAGUAAGUAUGAUUUCCGUACAACACACAAACCAUGUGUAAAGUCCUUUAAUGGUCUCAGAAUGCAAGUUAUUGAAAACCUUUGAAGGCAUAAAAUAUUUGUCUCAACAUGCUUAUUUGUGCAUUGUGAAGCAUGGAUGCAUUGAAUAUGGAAAUUUUCUAACAAUGUGAGCUACAGAUACAUUGAGGAUAAAUGGUAUAAAAAAGUAAUUAUGUCAAAACAUAUUUGUAACACACUAUGUCAUUAGUUUUCUAUAAAAUGUUUGCACUUUCAAAUUUGUAAUGUAUGCACAUAAAAUAAAUAAAGAUUAGGGUUUUUGUUAUGUGGACACGAAUUUAGCCCAAAUUUGACAUGCUUUAACCACACUAUUUCUCAAAUUUUCUCAUGCAAGGAGUAUGCAAAAAUAUUGAAAACUAUCCUUGCAUUAUUCUAAAAAUAGUUCUAAUUUUACAUAAAAAAUGUCACGUCUUAAUUUCAAGAUAGUUCGGUAUCUUAAGAGUUCCCAAAAUAUCUGAUACUUAUUCAAAAUUAAAGAAAAUUAAUUUAUAAUUGUGGAUAAGUUUAGAAAGUAUUUGAUAAAUAUUGGAGGAGUGUCGGUACCCGGUAUGAUACGGAUAUGACUCCCUUGUAUAAGUAUUCACACUUUGUAAUUGGUGCACGUUUUGUUCAGAUACAUGACUUUCAAAGCGAAUAGAAUGUUAUGAACAAAACACCUUGCCUAAGUGGCCCUGUCGAUAAUAAGCCCUUGCCUUGGCCAUUUACUAGUUCGAUGAACCCUUGGGAUCAGAACUUGUUUCAAUUCCAGUCCAUGACUGAAGUACUCCAACCCAAUCUUAAGUUUGUUUUUUAUCCGAUACUUAUUCAAAAUUAAAGAAAAUUAAUUUAUAAUUGUGGAUAAGUUUAGAAAGUAUUUGAUAAAUAUUGGAGUGUCGGUACCCGGUAUGAUACGGAUAUGACUCCCUUGUAUAAGUAUUCGCACUUUGUAAUUGGUGCACGCUUUGUUCAGAUACAUGACUUUCAAAGCGAAUAGAAUGUUAUGAACAAAACACCUUGCCUAAGUGGCCCUGUCGAUAAUAAGCCCUUGCCUUGGCCAUUUACUAGUUCGAUGAACCCUUGGGAUCAAAACUUGUUUCAAUUCCAGUCCAUGACUGAAGUACUCAAACCCAAUCUUAAGUAUGUUUUUUAUCCGAUACUUAUUCAAAAUUAAAGAAAAUUAAUUUAUAAUUGUGGAUAAGUUUAGAAAGUAUUUGAUAAAUAUUGGAGGAGUGUCGGUACCCGGUAUGAUACGGAUAUGACUCCCUUGUAUAAGUAUUCACGCUUCAUAAUUGGUGCACGUUUUGUUCAGAUACAUGACUUUCAAAGCGAAUAGAAUGUUAUGAACAAAACACCUUGCCUAAGUGGCCCUGUCGAUAAUAAGCCCUUGCCUUGGCCAUUUACUAGUUCGAUGAACCCUUGGGAUCAAAACUUGUUUCAAUUCCAGUCCAUGACUGAAGUACUCAAACCCAAUCUUAAGUAUGUUUUUUAUCCGAUACUUAUUCAAAAUUAAAGAAAAUUAAUUUAUAAUUGUGGAUAAGUUUAGAAAGUAUUUGAUAAAUAUUGGAGGAGUGUCGGUACCCGGUAUGAUACGGAUAUGACUCCCUUGUAUAAGUAUUCACGCUUCAUAAUUGGUGCACGUUUUGUUCAGAUACAUGACUUUCAAAGCGAAUAGAAUGUUAUGAACAAAACAUCUUGUCUAAGUGGCCCUGUCAAUAAUAAGCCCUUCUCUUGGCCAUUUACUAGUUGGAUGAAGCCUUGGGAUCGGAACUUGUUUCAAUUCCGGUCCAUGACUACAGUACUCAAACCCAAUCUUAAGUAUGUUUUUUAUGCAGUGUAGCUCGCUUCUCAGCAUGCUUUGGUGCAUGUUGAAAAAAGAAUAGCUUUCUUGUGGCGCGGAAAGCUAAUGUCCAAAACAAAUACGUUAAUGUCCACAAGAAAGAAAGAAAAAAUUUGGAAACAAGAUCAUCUACUCAUUUUUCCGUCACGUGGUCAUAUCUGCAUAUAGCUGUGCUUCUACAGUUUAAUCUCAUGUACAGCAUUGCAUAUUUUUCCUCUAUUUGUC
Molecule: non-coding RNA, 2934 nt
Organism: Camellia sinensis
Lineage: Eukaryota; Viridiplantae; Streptophyta; Magnoliopsida; Ericales; Theaceae
Source: RefSeq, a predicted model, not a curated record